UUACCUACGGGUGGCUGCAGUGAGGAAUAUUGCACAAUGGGCGAAAGCCUGAUGCAGCAACGCCGCGUGAGGGACGAAGGCCUUCGGGUCGUAAACCUCUUUUCUGGGGGACGAGUAAGGACGGUACUCCAGGAAUAAGUCUCGGCUAACUACGUGCCAGCAGCCGCGGUAAAACGUAGGAGGCGAGCGUUAUCCGGAUUUACUGGGCGUAAAGCGUACGCAGGUGGCUUCGUUAGUCGGACAUGAAAGCUCCUGGCUUAACUGGGAGAGGUUGUUCGAUACUGCGGGGCUUGAGGUUGGGAGAGGGACGUGGAAUUCCCGGUGUAGUGGUGGAAUGCGUAGAUAUCGGGAGGAACACCAGUGGCGCAAGCGGCGUCCUGGCCCACACCUGACGCUGAGGUACGAAAGCGUGGGUAGCAAACAGGAUUAGAUACCCGGGUAGUCA
RNAcentral lists this ribosomal RNA (445 nucleotides) under uncultured bacterium. RNAcentral's name for it is "bacterial SSU rRNA". It matches the Rfam family "Bacterial small subunit ribosomal RNA", at positions 335 to 796 of the family's 1533-position model. The record is from RNAcentral.